RNAcentral lists this ribosomal RNA (254 nucleotides) under uncultured bacterium. Its description in RNAcentral is "partial 16S ribosomal RNA". It matches the Rfam family "Bacterial small subunit ribosomal RNA", at positions 524 to 776 of the family's 1533-position model. The record is from RNAcentral.
UACGGGGGGAGCAAGCGUUGUUCGGAUUUACUGGGCGUAAAGGGCGGGUAGGCGGCCACUGCAAGUCGGUUGCGAAAUCUCCGGGCUUAACCCGGAAAGGUCAAUCGAUACUGCAGGGCUAGAGUGCAGAAGGGGCAACUGGAAUUCUCGGUGUAGCGGUGAAAUGCGUAGAUAUCGAGAGGAACACCUGCGGCGAAGGCGGGUUGCUGGGCUGACACUGACGCUGAACUGCGAAAGCUAGGGGAGCGAACGGG